RNAcentral lists this ribosomal RNA (1412 nucleotides) under gut metagenome. RNAcentral describes it as "bacterial LSU rRNA". It matches the Rfam family "Bacterial large subunit ribosomal RNA", at positions 589 to 1990 of the family's 2925-position model. The record is from RNAcentral.
GGGGGUGACAGCGUGCCUUUUGCAUAAUGAACCUACGAGUUGCCGUCACUGGCAAGGUUAAGCCUUUAAGAGGCGCAGCCGAAGCGAAAGCGAGUCCGAACAGGGCAUCUAGUCAGUGGAGGCAGACGCGAAACCAAGUGAUCUACCCAUGGCCAGGAUGAAGGACGGGUGACUCCGUCUGGAGGUCCGCACCGAUAAGCGUUGAAAAGCUUACGGAUGAGCUGUGGGUAGGAGUGAAAGGCCAAUCAAACUUGGAGAUAGCUCGUACUCCCCGAAAUGUAUUUAGGUGCAGCCUCACGUUAAGAGAGAUGGAGGUAGAGCGACCGAUAGGAUGCGAGGGCUUCACCGCCUGUCAAGUCCUGCCGAACUCCGAAUGCCAUCGUCUUUGCUACGUGGGAGUAAGGGCGCGGGUGCUAACGUCCGUGUCCGAGAGAGGAACAACUCAGACCACCAGCUAAGGUCCCGAAAUCCGGGCCGAGUUGAAGACAAUAACGAAGUGUGAUCGCAGAGACAGCCAGGAUGUUGGCUUGGAAGCAGCCAUUCAUUUAAAGAGUGCGUAACAGCUCACCGGUCGAGCGGUCGUGCGUGGAUAAUAAUCGGGCAUAAGUCCGGUACCGAAGCUGUGGAAUCGUGUGCUAGACACGCGGUUGGUAGGGGAGCAUUCCGGUUAGCGUUGAAGCAGUGCCGUGAGACACCGUGGAGCAACCGGAAAAGCAAAUGUAGGUAUAAGUAACGAUAAUGAGGGCGAGAAACCCUCACGCCGAAAGACCAAGGUUUCCUGAUCAACGCUAAUCGGAUCAGGGUCAGUCGGGACCUAAGGCAAAGGCUAAGGCCGCAGCCGAUGGAAGAGACGGUUAAUAUUCCGUCACCGACAAGUACUGCGAAGGAGGGACGGAGAAGUGACACGCCCGCGGGCUGACGGAAUAGCCCGUUAAAGUGGGGUAGACGUAGACGGUUGAGUAAAACGCUUGCCGGAGUCGAGCCAUGACAGUACCGAGCGCGCUACGGCGCAAUCGGACAGCGGCGGUAAACAUGCUUCCUAGAAAAGCUUCUAAGCUACAGGUACUUGUUGCCCGUACCGUAAACCGACACAGGUGGUUGGGUUGAGUAUACUAAGGCGCUCGAGAGAUUCAUGGUUAAGGAACUAGGCAAAUUGACCCCGUAACUUCGGGAGAAGGGGUUCUGGCCGCAAGGUCAGACGCAGAGAAUAGGUCCAGGCAACUGUUUAACAAAAACACAGGGCUGUGCUAAGUUGAAAGACGCGGUAUACAGUCUGACACCUGCCCGGUGCCGGAAGGUUAAGAGGAGGUCUCAUCGCAAGAGAAGGUCUGAAUUGAAGCCCCGGUAAACGGCGGCCGUAACUAUAACGGUCCUAAGGUAGCGAAAUUCCUUGUCGGGUAAGUUCCGACCUG